Molecule: ribosomal RNA, 879 nt
Filed under: Triticum aestivum (bread wheat)
Lineage: Eukaryota; Viridiplantae; Streptophyta; Magnoliopsida; Poales; Poaceae
Description: partial small subunit ribosomal RNA
Source: RNAcentral
AUGAAUACAUUCUUGCAAUCAACUACUCCAACUCCAGAGCAACUAUUCUCACUGAUUACUCCUACCAUAACUGAAGAAGCUUUCUCUAGGAUAUUCUUGCUAUUGAAUCUUUCUAUCCUCAUUGCACCUAACUCAAAGGGACUACCCAGCAAAAAAUUCUUCAGUGCUUUGGUGGACAUAGAUUCUGUUCCCAAAUACAAUUGGUGUCUUUUUGCCCUGUCUUUCUUGAUUCAUCAAAUUAGAAAAUCAGACAUAAGGAUCAACCCCUCAGCCAUGACAGGGGGAUGCAAACUAAUAUUGGUGGUCAUGCACUUUGAAUUCCUAAUCACAUCUGAAUACAAGAUACCCUCCAACAUUUUCCCAAGGCUUCCAAUGUGGUCAUCAACUAUGCUGAAUGCUUUUUUAGCUCUUGAUACAAUGCCCGGAGAGGAAAAACAGUUUGGGAGGCUGCUAGAAAAUGCAAGAGUUGAACGUAGCACUCGGAAAUUCUGGCAAACAUUUCUAUCAAAUUCUAUACCAACAAUACAUUCCUACAUUGAUGAGGCACACCAUUGCUUUGGCCCCAAAAUUCCAUCGAAACAGAACAAGAGUGAUGAACUCACCAAAUUUCAUUCUCUUCCAAAUAUGAACUCCAGCAAUACUACAAGUCAUCCUUGUUCAUGCAAGUUGGAAACUGAAAAUCAUCCUGUCCUAGAACUAUUCCUCUCUUCAAUAGAUUUCAUUGAUUUCCCUGGGCCUCACAUUUAUCCAACCACUUUUGAUGAAGAAAACAACAAAAUAUUAGUUGAAUAUCUUAUCCAAAGCAUGUCUGAAUCUCUCCAUAUUGACAAGCAGAUAAAUUUUGACCUACUAUUGCUCAGUGCAUCAACAACUACAUAG